GAACUGCGAUAAGUAAUGUGAAUUGCAGAAUUCAGUGAAUCAUCGAGUCUUUGAACGCACAUUGCGCCCCCUGGUAUUCCGGGGGGCAUGCCUGUCCGAGCGUCAUUGCUACCCUCCAGCACGGCUGGUGUGUUGGGCCGCCGUCCCCCCGCGGGACGGGCCCGAAAGGCAGCGGCGGCGCCGUCCGGUCCUCGAGCGUAUGGGGCUCUGUCACCCGCUCUGUAGUGGCCGGCCGGGGCUCGCCUCGACAGUCAGUCUUAUUACCAAGGUUGACCUCGGAUCAGGUAGGGAUACCCGCUGAACUUAA
This 307-nucleotide unclassified non-coding RNA is filed under the name uncultured Aspergillus. RNAcentral's name for it is "sequence contains ITS1". The stretch from base 1 to 105 matches the Rfam family "5.8S ribosomal RNA", at positions 50 to 154 of the family's 154-position model. Lineage: Eukaryota; Fungi; Ascomycota; Eurotiomycetes; Eurotiales; Aspergillaceae. The record is from RNAcentral.